This 477-nucleotide ribosomal RNA is filed under the name uncultured bacterium. RNAcentral describes it as "bacterial SSU rRNA". It matches the Rfam family "Bacterial small subunit ribosomal RNA", at positions 501 to 981 of the family's 1533-position model. The record is from RNAcentral.
CUACGUGCCAGCAGCCGCGGUAAUACGGAAGGUCCAGGCGCUAUCCGGAUUUAUUGGGUUUAAAGGGAGUGUAGGCGGUUUGUUAAGCGUGUUGUGAAAUUUAGGUGCUCAACAUUUAACUUGCAGCGCGAACUGUCAGACUUGAGUACACGCAACGUAUGCGGAAUUCAUGGUGUAGCGGUGAAAUGCUUAGAUAUCAUGAAGAACUCCGAUUGCGAAGGCAGCAUACGGGAGUGUAACUGACGCUUAAGCUCGAAGGUGCGGGUAUCGAACAGGAUUAGAUACCCUGGUAGUCCGCACAGUAAACGAUGGAUGCCCGCUGUUAGCGCCUGGCGUUAGCGGCUAAGCGAAAGCAUUAAGCAUCCCACCUGGGGAGUACGCCGGCAACGGUGAAACUCAAAGGAAUUGACGGGGGCCCGCACAAGCGGAGGAACAUGUGGUUUAAUUCGAUGAUACGCGAGGAACCUUACCCGGGCU